RNAcentral lists this ribosomal RNA (465 nucleotides) under Rickettsiaceae bacterium. RNAcentral describes it as "partial 16S ribosomal RNA". It matches the Rfam family "Bacterial small subunit ribosomal RNA", at positions 871 to 1271 of the family's 1533-position model. The record is from RNAcentral. Lineage: Bacteria; Pseudomonadati; Pseudomonadota; Alphaproteobacteria; Rickettsiales; Rickettsiaceae.
GCCUGGGAAGUACGGCCGCAAGGUUGAAACUCAAAGGAAUUGACGGAGGCUUGUACAAGGGGUGGAGCAUGUGGUUUAAUUCGAUAAACCGCGCAUAAUCUUACCAUUUCUUGCAUAGAAGUUUGGAUUCCAAUGGUGCAGGUCAAUCUAUAAGUUGGUGCUGUAGGUUGUAUUUGUACUGGAUCGCUUAUUUUUUUUUUUCACAAAAAAAUAUAGUAGUAUAACUUUAAUACAGGCGCUGCAUGGUUGUCGUCAGUUCGUGCUGUGAAGUGUGCGGUUAAUUCCAUUAACGAGCGCAACCCUAAUGAAUAAUUGCAAUAUUGAAAGCAAAUUAUUUACACUGCUUAGACACGUUUUAAGAGGAAGUAGGUCGAUGUCAAAUCAUUAUGGCCCUUAUGGACUGGGCUACGUCAUGUGCUACAAAGGUUAUCGACAAUAAGAAGCAAUGGUGCGAACUUGAGCAAA